GUUAUUAUAUAAAACACAAUUCUUCAUAGAUCUGCGUAAUGGAGGACAAGCUGGGGCCCUUAGGCAUAUUUGGUGUGCGGGACCUUGUUGACUGUUGUCAAUGUUUGACUGAGAUAUUAUAUUUAUAUUCAAUAUUCAUAAAAAGUUCUGGAAAAUUCAGUGCCCAUAACAAAAACAAUAACAGUCUCCAACACAUGUAACAACUAAUAAGAAUAACUUUUGUUUUAUUUGAGAUGGAAUAAAAAAAAUCAGCUACCAUAUUUGUUGAUGGAAUAACCUGCAUGUUUUACAUUUUCUAAUUUUCUGGGUGAUAAGCCGUGGCUGAUGGGGGCCCCUGAAUGUCUGUUAGUUUUUUAACUAACCCUACCUAAUGAGCGUUACACCACUGGUUACAAGUGUUGUUUAAUUGGUAUGUUGGCAAAUUAAUGAACUUUAUGCAAAAUCAGAAUCAAAGUAUUUCAGAUGCCAAUACUGAGAAAUUUUAGGGUUUAAAAUUAUUAUUUCUCAGUCACAACAAGAAUUGCCUAGCUGCGGCAAAUAUACGAUUGUCCAUUGCUUGUAACUGGGUUUUUUCCAUGUUAUCUGUAUACAAAGAGAAUACUUCUUAGCACAUUAUUAUUAAAAAAUCACUAUGGCAAUAUGCCAUACUCGGCAGUCUUUUAUAGGAUCAAACAACGAUAUGAGAGUGCAUGAGAACAAACAAUUCCCAUUAUAAACUAAUUUUUUUAACUUGGCAAAAAAAGUACAUUCCUGGAAACAGGAUACUAAAAUGAGUAAAAUUGCAAAGUUUGGUUGCGAAAUGUAGUAAAAUGCGGAAAAUAUAGCCUUGCAAAUGUGUGCGGAAAUUGCACCACAUUUGUGCCGAAAAUGGGCCAUUCCAUUUAAUAUCCGUACCCCCCCCCUGUCGAGGAUCCCUGGAAUUCUUCAGGGGUAAAGGGUUUUGAGCUUGGAAUUCUUCAGGGGUAAAGUGUUUUGAGCUUGGAAUUCUUCAGGGGUAAAGUGUUUUGAGGUUGGAAUUCUUCAGGGGUAAAGGGUUUUGAGCUUGGAAUUCUUCAGGGGUAAGGAGGUUUGAUUUGAAAUUUUUCAGAGCUUGGAAUUCUUCAGGGGUAAAGGCUUUUCUGCUUGGAAUUCUUCAGGGGUAAAAGGUUUUGAGCUUGGAAUUUUUCAGGAGUAAAGGGUUUUGAGUUUGGAAUUCUUCAGGGGUAAAGGGUUUUGAGCUUGGAAUUCUUCAGGGGUAAAAGGUUUUGAGCUUGGAAUUCUUCAGGGGUAAAGGGUUUUGAGCUUGGAAUUUUGGAAUUCUUCAGGGCUAAAAGGUUUUGAGCUUGGAAUUCUUCAGGGGUAAAGGGUUUUGAGCUUGAAAUUCUUCAGGGGUAAAAGGUUUUGAGCUUGGAAUUCUUCAGGGGUAUAACCAUAAAAAACAUGUAUCCUCGACAGGGGGUGCACGGAUAUUAAAUGGAAUAGCCCAAUACAAAAGUAUACAAAAUUUGCAAACUUUGCAAGGCUAUAUUUUCCGCAUUUUACAACAUUUCGCAACCAAACUUUGCAAUUUGACUUAUUUUAGUAUGCUCUUUCUAGCUGUGGUAAUUUAUUUGCAUCUCCUUGCCUAGUUUUAAAAUUAGUCUAUAAUGGAAUUGUAUAUUGGCAGCUAGGACAGCUUGUCACGCCUUUGGCUAGUUGUUCUGAGAUGCUUUCUCAAACAAUAGCAGUAGUGUAUUUAGGUUAAAACUUACUGUAAUUCGAGUUAAAACAAACCGUUAUUUUGUUAAUAUCUAGAGCUUCAAAUGUCUCCUGUAACAAUACGACUCAUUCUAGUUUGAUCUUGAGUCUGGGCACCCAUUUGAAAUAAAAAUUUUAGCUAGCUUAGAAGAAUCAGGGCGCUUCCAAUAUUUAUACACGGCCAGACUAGUAUUAAGAAUGGUCAAAUUGUUGAAUGGAACACAAAACGUUUGGGCUUUGGACCCAAUCUGACCGGAAAAUUUAGAUACGAACAUUAGAUUGAUUCCAUAUUCGCCAGAUAUUUGAGAAACAGACUUGAUCUUUCCAUUGAUACAGAGACAAAAAUUUACUGGGCACAUUACAUGGAAAGCGCUCUCAGUUACACGUCAUUUAAUCUCUAUAUUUUAAGCUCAAUUUCUCUCCAUCUCCACUAAAACGUUGGUUUGGCGAGUUAUUUUCAGAGCUAAAUACAAAUCAAAGCACUAAAGAACUUCUUACCAUAUAAACUUUGUCAGCAAAGCGUCAAAUGUCUGAACAUUGUGGUUAUUGGUGGCGACUGUUUUCGUCGUUGGACCGUUCGGCAAACUUUCUCUUCGCGUUUUCGUUACCACUCGUUUAUUUCGUACUUUGUCCAGAUUCUUGUGCAUAGAUAUUGUAAAAAAAUAUGUUAAAACCGUUCCCAAAACGUCGGAUUGCAAUAGAUUGAAAUGACUACAAUUGCCCAACAGCCCAAGGCACUAACAACAAUUCAGAGCACCACAAAGCACACGCAAAGCAUCACCACAUUCCGAGCAUGUUGGGGACCUUCCCGCAAUGCAAUGCGACUCAUUGCGCAUUUUAUUCAGAGUUUGGUAAAAUAUUGUGCUUUUGGUCAAAUGUGGUUGAUUUUCGCCAAAUUUUAGUAACAAAACGUUCCACAGAGCAUUGAUUCGCUGGGGCUAUGGAAUUAGUCACCUCUGUAUAUGGGGAAACUAGCCUCCUCCGCAGGCAUGUCUUAAUCG
This is a non-coding RNA of Paramuricea clavata, 2717 nucleotides long. NCBI's taxonomy places the organism in Eukaryota, Metazoa, Cnidaria, Anthozoa, Malacalcyonacea, Plexauridae. The record is from the annotation of a GenBank genome assembly.